AGAGUUUGAUCCUGGCUCAGGAUGAACGCUAGCGGCAGGCCUAAUACAUGCAAGUCGAACGGGAUCCGGGGGUAGCUUGCUACCUUCGGUGAGAGUGGCGCACGGGUGCGUAACGCGUGAGCAACCUGCCCGUCCCAGGGGGAUAGCCCCUCGAAAGAGGGAUUAACACCGCAUGACGCUGGAGGAUGGCAUCAUCUUCCAGCCAAAUAUUCAUAGGGGACGGAUGGGCUCGCGUGGCAUUAGCUAGUUGGUAAGGUAACGGCUUACCAAGGCAACGAUGCCUAGGGGCUCUGAGAGGAGAAUCCCCCACACUGGUACUGAGACACGGACCAGACUCCUACGGGAGGCAGCAGUAAGGAAUAUUGGUCAAUGGGCGCAAGCCUGAACCAGCCAUGCCGCGUGCAGGAAGACGGCCCUACGGAUUGUAAACUGCUUUUGUUAGGGAACAAACCCCCCGACGUGUCGGGGGCUGAGUGUACCUAAAGAAUAAGGAUCGGCUAACUCCGUGCCAGCAGCCGCGGUAAUAC
RNAcentral lists this ribosomal RNA (527 nucleotides) under uncultured bacterium. RNAcentral's name for it is "bacterial SSU rRNA". It matches the Rfam family "Bacterial small subunit ribosomal RNA", at positions 8 to 526 of the family's 1533-position model. The record is from RNAcentral.